UUUGGCAUCCCUAGUGGCAAAUGCAUUGUGAUUUAUGAUUUAUUUGUUUUUAACAAACUGAUUGUGUAUAUCCGUUUUUGUUUCAUAUAGACUUGACUGAAAAUCAGGCACCUUGGGUGCUCUUUACUUCAGCACUCAGCACUUGAUUCUGAUGCUUUUCAUGACUACCAACCUUGACCUGCCACACCUCAGGCUGUUCUUCCAGUUCAUGUAUUUUUACAAACCAGUUCAAGCCUUCCCAAAAUAACAAUGGAACGAUUCAUUUUCAGACUCUGCAUCCACGGAUGACAUGUGGUAGCCCCGCCCCUUUAAACACUGCACAGAGUUUACAACCCUUCAGAACCCUGCACAACAACCUUUCCUACAGGACCCGGCACCAGAACCCUGCACAAGAACCCUCAACUACUACAGAACCUGCACAAGAACCUACCACAGCCCAGCUCAGCUGCUCUGGACUGUUCGGUGGAAGAAGAGGAAGGGAAUGAGGGCUCCCUCCCCUUGUUCACAUAACGUUCCCUCUCAGUGCUAGGCAAUGGUACCUUCUGGAAAUUUUCUGCAUACUCUUCUGUCCCGAAUCACUCUUUUCCCAAAUCCUUUUAUCCUUAACAUCACCCUCUUAAAAAAAUCCAACACUUAUUUCCAUUUAAAUCUUUUUUUUUUUUUGGUGUAAUUAAUUUGAUUCACAUUUCCUUGUGUGUUUGUCUAGUUCAGCUUUUAUUUCUGUGAAGUGCAAUUGUCUUGUACAAAGAAAAGCCUGUAUCAAAUGCAGCUUUAGUUUUAAGUUUAUAAAAAAAGAAAAGAAAAAAAGGCACACCUUUAUUGCCCUGCCUGCUUUUGUUUCCUCUCCAACCGCUAAAGCCCAACACAUCUGCCUCUCAUCUACUUUCCUUUCACGUCUUUGUUUUUUUCCUUUUUUAAACAAAAUAUAACUUUUUGUAUUGUUACUUUUUAAGUGAAACGGGUAAAUGAUAUGGGCUCACAGCACAGUACAGUAAGCUUUUUUGUAAAUCUCACAGCACGGAUGACAGUAAUCGUUAUGUUCUCUCAGUACUACUGUUUUUCUUUUUCUGGUGGGGUGGGUCUUUUAUUUUCGCCCUUUGUUUUUAUUUUUAUUUUCAGAGGAAACCGCUUGAACUUAAACUAAGCUGAAAUUGUGUGCGUGAUUGUGUGUGAGAGAAUGAGUGAGUCUUAUGAGAAAUCAAAGGUUUGCGUUGUGUGUGUGUGUGUGUGUGUGUGUGUGUAAGAGGAUGCAUGUUUGAUCCACCAAACUAUUUCCAUAGUGCAAAUUUUGUGUGUGAUUCUGUUACCUGAUGCGCCAACCCUGAUUCUCUCUCUUAUCAUCAACACUAGGACUCUACAGUGUUCUGCACUACUGCAGCUUCUUGAUUUGUUUUAAGUUGGUCUAGGAGCAUUUUAAAGGAUCUCCUGCACUUGCUGGAAAAAAGUAAUUGUUAAGAAGCACUCAGAACUGGGACAAGCCCUAUGAAGUGCGUUUAUGUGUGUGUUUGGUUGUUAGUGCAUAUGGUCUGAAUGGAUGUGUGAGAUUGCAUGUUUAUUGUGCUUAAAAUUAUGUGGGUUUUAAUGGGGAUAUUUAGGCUUUUGACACAAAUAUAUAAGGCUUUAGCUAUAGUGCUCGAUCACCCAUCUGCACUGCUGAGAGAGUGAUGAGUGAAUGCUUUCUGAGAUUAACACUCAACUCAGAUUUUUCUUCUACUUUAACCAUUCGCUUCAUCUCGUGUUGAUUUAUGUUAUCUGUUAUAUGUUUCUCUCUUUUUUUUGGAUGAGGUGAUUUCUAUCUCUCUCUCUCUCUUUUCAAAGAACAAAUACAGUGUGAUCCAGUGAGCUGGCCUGGUUUAGGCCAGAGCCUGCAUGUGUUCCUCUGAUCAAUAGGGAGCGCAACAGAGUACUGUUUGCUGCUAAAGUGUGUGAUUGAAUCAUUCGUUCAUUCAUUUGAAUGCUCUUAGUUAAUAUUCUCCCACACCUUUUCCCCCAGUGCUGUAUGUACCAUAGUUCUGAAUUAAUUUAAUUGUAUUUCUUUCAGAGAGAUUGUCACUUGUUCAUUUGUCCUGAUUAUCUGAAAGGUGACACGGUAAAAUCACCACCUUCGUCCUUACCUUCCCAAACUAAAUUUUAUGUAUGGAAUAGAUUAUAUGAACAGGAAUUCCCUUGCAUCUUAUAAAUAUAAGUUAGCUUUUUUGUCUAAUCCUGUGUAUUUGCAUACUGAAAAAAGGGUAGGUAAAAAGAUCACUACUUUGAGUCUUUUUCAUGAACCUCACGGGGUGAUUUAUUAAACUAAUAUUGUAACAAAAUGACAAUCUAACAGUGUAUAGCUAAUGUUAACAGAAAAAUCUCCCUGUAUCCUCUAUGCUUUUGGCUUGUGUUAUAACACGGGCAUAAAGAUAGUUGUGUUUGUGUGUGGAAUGGUGAGCUGUGUGUUUUCCCCAGUGGAAGCUGGAAUGUUGUGUAAUAGGAGAUUCACGAAAUGAAUCUAAAAUUAACAGGAUGUUUUAGGAUGGUCUUAGAGGCCAGGAUAUGUUCAUGUGUCUUUAAGCUUUUUUGGAUCCGCAAAGCUACGUGGAAUCACUUUAGGAAUGUAGUCACGAGGAACGACGACUCUUAAUAGGAUUCUGUUGGCUUGCUUAACCCUCAGUUUGGUCUUAUACGGGCUUAAAAAUCACUUGUAUGAAAAUUAACAAAUUAUGUGACUUGUUUUGAAAAAAGCAUUUUGUUGUAUGCAGUUUUGAGAUUCUUGGACUGCUAUUACACAGAUUCUCCUUCUUUGUUUGUAAGACUUCCAGAUGUUUUUUAGAUGGGG
Long non-coding RNA from Sinocyclocheilus anshuiensis, 2815 nucleotides. RefSeq lists it as uncharacterized. NCBI's taxonomy places the organism in Eukaryota, Metazoa, Chordata, Actinopteri, Cypriniformes, Cyprinidae. The transcript has 2 exons. The record is from RefSeq and is a predicted model, not a curated record.